AUCCUUUCAACGUCAUCGCGGCUGCGCUUUCCUCUGCUCUUGUUCACUACUACCCUCUUGCUGCCACUCUCCGCCGAGGCCAGGUGGAUGACCGUCUGGAGCUGUUUUGCUCUCGGGACCAUUUAGGUGUGCCUCUUAUCAAUGCAACUGUAAACUGCCCGUUGGAAAAACUAAACUACCUCGAUGACUCGGACCCGAAUUUUCUGGACGGGUUAGUUCCUGACCCGGUUCAAGAUUAUGGGCUGGCUAACCCGUGUGUUCUCCAAGUCACGGUGUUUGAGUGUGGUGGAUGGACAUUAGGUGCUGCCAUACACCAUGGUUUGUGUGAUGGGCUUGGGGCAACCCAGUUUUUUAAUGUUAUGGCAGAGUUGGCACGUGGUGUGGGUCGGAUUUCAGCUAAUCCAGUUUGGGACCGGGCGCGCUUGUUGGGUCCGAGAGACCCGCCCCGGGCUGAGGGAGUGGUGAGGGAGUUUUUGGGCUUGGAGAAAGGGUCUGAACCUUACGGUCAGGUGGUUGGUAAGGUUGUGAGGGAGUGCUUUCCUGUGAAGGAUGAGUGGUUGGAGAAGUUCAAGAAGGUGUUGUUUGAGAAGAGUGGCUCUAGUUUUACCACGUUUGAAGCCUUGGGUGCAUUCAUAUGGCGGGCAAAGUAAGUCAUUAGGUAGUUUGUGCAUCACUCAGCAUCGCCAUUACUUGAUGGUUGCAUUUCAUAUUUUUGCCUCAUUUGCAAAAAUUAAAAACAAAAAACAAAGUAGAGGUCAAUUAGCAGGUGGUAUAUAAGCCAAUCUUGCAUGUUCUUGGCUCUUACUUGGGAGAAAAAAAAAUAAUAAUGAUAUUCAAACUCAAGUCAAGAUAAAUUAUUUUAUUGAAACUAUAGAAAUUGCCAGCUAUAUUCAAUGUAUUAUGGCUUGGAUCAUGUUGUCUCUCUUAAUUCUAAUUCAUCAUUGACUUAACAGGGUUAAAGCCUCGGGGGUUCCAGGUGAUGAGAAUGUGAAGUUCGCCUACUCAAUCAAUAUACGAAAACUGGUAAAGCCACCAUUACCCGCUGGCUAUUGGGGCAAUGGUUGUGUUCCGAUGUAUGCUCAACUCCGUGCCAGAGAGCUGAUAGAGCAACCAGUUUGGAAAACAGCUGAGCUGGGACAUUCAACUGUUGAUUUUGGGUGGGGAGGUCCGGUCACUGUCUUGCCACUUUCAAGAAAACUACUCGGAAGUGUUGUGCCGUGCUUUUUCUUGCCUUAUUCUUCUGCAAAUGCCGGCAAGAAGGAUGGGUUCAAGGUGCUGGUAACCUUGCAAGAAACACACAUGCCUGCCUUUAAGAAAGAGAUGGAGAAAUUUAGCAGCCAAGAUUUUGACUUGUCUUGAUUUACAUGCUAAAUCCCUUCAACCAUUUCUAUAUCUGUAAGCAUGCCACUCUAGAGCUAAAUCUGCACUCCACAGGGAUUGCUGCUUCUAGAGAUGGCGAAGAAGGCUGUAACGCUGGUGGUUGCUACUCUUGUUCGACUGUUUUCCUUUCUCUCCCUGCUGUGUCCACUGCUUUCUCUCUUCUUCUCAGUUCUUGAUGUGCACAAACCAAGAAGGAUAAAGGGUGGUUUUCUUUGAUCUUCUUGUGAUUUCGGGUUCUUCUUUUUUGCAGGGAUGAGGGCAAUAGCAAGGCUUAUUCUUGUCUUGCUGUUGCUCCUCCUCUUUCUUCUCUUCUCUAUGUGAAUUUCUUUUUUUUUUUUUUUUUUGCUUUGUUUUCGUCUAUGUUUUCUAGUUUCGGGUUGUGUUAUUUUUCUCUCCCUCUUAGUUUCUUCUCUCGUGCUUGUUUUUUUUUUUUAGUUUAUGCUCUGUUUUUGCUCUACUUUUUUUUUUCCUGUUCCUCCCCUGGUUUCUGGGUUUGUUCUUUUCCCCUUGUUCUAGGUUUUCUUCUCCCUUUUAUAGAAUCCCCAGCUGAUUGCCUCUAACCAGUCUUGACUUUGCAAGACUAUUAUCUUCCACGAACGAGAUCGUGAGUGAGAGACGUGGUCUUUGAUUGGAUCGAAUCCGUUACAGAUUUUCAGCCUGUUAAAUCGGGAUGGAGAAGACGAACACGGUUGUUCCACCACGACGACA
RNAcentral lists this long non-coding RNA (2088 nucleotides) under Populus euphratica (Euphrates poplar). The record is from RNAcentral. Lineage: Eukaryota; Viridiplantae; Streptophyta; Magnoliopsida; Malpighiales; Salicaceae.